UCCCUGGAGGAGUAGUGGUUAGGCCACAGUGCUCUUGCAGCUUCGGCCCGGGUUUGAUUCCCAGCCAGGGAA
Pangasianodon gigas (Mekong giant catfish) is the source of this 72-nucleotide non-coding RNA. The record is from the annotation of a GenBank genome assembly. Lineage: Eukaryota; Metazoa; Chordata; Actinopteri; Siluriformes; Pangasiidae.